UACGUAGGGUGCAAGCGUUGUCCGGAAUUAUUGGGCGUAAAGAGCUCGUAGGCGGUUUGUCGCGUCUGCUGUGAAAACGCGAGGCUCAACCUCGCGCCUGCAGUGGGUACGGCAGACUAGAGUGUGGUAGGGGAGAUUGGAAUUCCUGUGUAGCGGUGAAUGCGCAGAUAUCAGAGGAACACCGAUGGCGAAGGCAGGUCUCUGGGCCACUACUGACGCUGAGAAGCGAAAGCAUGGGGAGCGAACAGG
Molecule: ribosomal RNA, 249 nt
Filed under: uncultured bacterium
Lineage: Bacteria
Description: partial 16S ribosomal RNA
Rfam family: Bacterial small subunit ribosomal RNA
Source: RNAcentral